GGCUAAUUACACAAAGUAAGAACCUUGCAAAAUCUGGGGAGGUAUAUAGGUUCCUUCCAGCACAAUUCCUUGCUUUCUGUCACAAUACAUACAUACACUGGCAUACAUACACACUGGCAUACACACAUACAUACACACAUUUGCAUACACACACUGGCAUACAUACACACAUACACUGGCAUACACACAUACAUACACACUAGCAUACACACA
Pelobates cultripes (western spadefoot toad) is the source of this 213-nucleotide non-coding RNA. The record is from the annotation of a GenBank genome assembly. Lineage: Eukaryota; Metazoa; Chordata; Amphibia; Anura; Pelobatidae.